RNAcentral lists this ribosomal RNA (461 nucleotides) under uncultured bacterium. RNAcentral's name for it is "bacterial SSU rRNA". It matches the Rfam family "Bacterial small subunit ribosomal RNA", at positions 43 to 524 of the family's 1533-position model. The record is from RNAcentral.
CAGGCCUAACACAUGCAAGUCGAACGGCAGCACGGGAGCAAUCCUGGUGGCGAGUGGCGAACGGGUGAGUAAUACAUCGGAACGUGCCCAAUCGUGGGGGAUAACGCAGCGAAAGCUGUGCUAAUACCGCAUACGAUCUGCGGAUGAAAGCGGGGGAUCUUCGGACCUCGCGCGAGUGGAGCGGCCGAUGGCAGAUUAGGUAGUUGGUGGGGUAAAGGCCUACCAAGCCUGCGAUCUGUAGCUGGUCUGAGAGGACGACCAGCCACACUGGGACUGAGACACGGCCCAGACUCCUACGGGAGGCAGCAGUGGGGAAUAUUGGACAAUGGGCGAAAGCCUGAUCCAGCAAUGCCGCGUGAGUGAUGAAGGCCUUAGGGUUGUAAAGCUCUUUUACCCGGGAUGAUAAUGACAGUACCGGGAGAAUAAGCUCCGGCUAACUCCGUGCCAGCAGCCGCGGUAAU